AUUGAACGCUGGCGGCAGGCCUAACACAUGCAAGUCGAACGAGUGGCGGACGGGUGAGUAAUGUCUGGGAAACUGCCUGAUGGAGGGGGAUACCUACUGGAACCGGUAGCUAAUCCCGCAUACCAUCAGAUGUGCCCAGAUGGGAUUGGCUAGUUGGUGGGGUAACGGCUCACCAAGGCGACGAUCCCUAGCUGGUCUGAGAGGAUGACCAGCCACACUGGAACUGAGACACGGUCCAGACUCCUACGGGAGGCAGCAGUGGGGAAUAUUGCACAAUGGGCGCAAGCCUGAUAGAGCAAUGCCGCGUGUAUGAAGAAGGUCUUCGGGUUGUAAAGUACUUUCAGCGGGGAGGCGUUACCCGAAGAAGAAGCACCGGCUAACUCCGUGCCAGCAGCCGCGGUAAUAC
Molecule: ribosomal RNA, 406 nt
Filed under: uncultured bacterium
Lineage: Bacteria
Description: partial 16S ribosomal RNA
Rfam family: Bacterial small subunit ribosomal RNA
Source: RNAcentral